Molecule: transfer RNA, 85 nt
Filed under: Nannocystis bainbridge
Lineage: Bacteria; Pseudomonadati; Myxococcota; Nannocystales; Nannocystaceae
Also listed under: 1 other name
Description: tRNA-Leu
Rfam family: tRNA
About the family: Transfer RNA (tRNA) molecules are approximately 80 nucleotides in length. Their secondary structure includes four short double-helical elements and three loops (D, anti-codon, and T loops).
Source: RNAcentral
GCGAAGGUGGCGGAAUUGGUAGACGCGCCAGACUAAGGAUCUGGUGGGGUAACCUGUGAGGGUUCGAGUCCCUCCCUUCGCACCA